Molecule: transfer RNA, 57 nt
Filed under: Bos taurus (domestic cattle)
Lineage: Eukaryota; Metazoa; Chordata; Mammalia; Artiodactyla; Bovidae
Also listed under: 5 other names
Rfam family: tRNA
About the family: Transfer RNA (tRNA) molecules are approximately 80 nucleotides in length.
Source: Rfam by way of RNAcentral
UGGCUUAGAUGGUAAAGAAUCUGCCUGCAGUGCAGGAGACCCAGGUUUAAUCCCUGG